This 497-nucleotide ribosomal RNA is filed under the name uncultured bacterium. Its description in RNAcentral is "partial 16S ribosomal RNA". It matches the Rfam family "Bacterial small subunit ribosomal RNA", at positions 28 to 507 of the family's 1533-position model. The record is from RNAcentral.
GAUGAACGCUGGCGGCGUGCCUAAUACAUGCAAGUCGAGCGAACAGACGAGGAGCUUGCUCCUCUGACGUUAGCGGCGGACGGGUGAGUAACACGUGGAUAACCUACCUAUAAGACUGGGAUAACUUCGGGAAACCGGAGCUAAUACCGGAUAACAUGUUGAAACGCAUGGUUCAACAGUGAAAGACGGUCUUGCUGUCGCUUAUAGAUGGAUCCGCGCCGCUUUAGCUAGUUGGUAAGGUAACGGCUUACCAAGGCAAGGAUGCGUAGCCGACCGGAGAGGGUGAUCGGCCACACUGGAACGGGGACACGGUCCAGACUCCUACGGGAGGCAGCAGUAGGGAAUCUUCCGCAAUGGGCGAAAGCCUGACGGAGCAACGCCGCGUGAGUGAAGAAGGUCUUCGGAUCGUAAAACUCUGUUAUUAGGGAAGAACAAAUGUGUAAGUAACUGUGCACGUCUUGACGGUACCUAAUCAGAAAGCCACGGCUAACUACGUG